Molecule: long non-coding RNA, 5794 nt
Filed under: Homo sapiens (human)
Lineage: Eukaryota; Metazoa; Chordata; Mammalia; Primates; Hominidae
Description: HSALNT0197607
Source: RNAcentral
GCCUGGAUUCCCUCAGCACCUGGGAAACAGGACUCCCAGGAUAAAAAGUUCCCUUUCUAACCAGACCAGCUGAGACUGGUUGAAACCAAGAUAGCUGACCGAGAAACUUCAAAAAGACCUUCAGCCUUAUUAUCAUCUCAUUUCCAUGCUCAGUGACACGCCCACAGUGCCAUGAUGGUUGGAAAUCACCAUGACGAUGACUGGAGGAAGGAAGGUCGCGCUCCGGUUCCAGGAAGCUCACUGCCCGCUCCCGGAAAAGACAUGAAUAUUCCUCCCCUUGCUUGGUGUGUCCAACCCUUUCAUGAGACAGUCAGUGUGUGUCAGCCUCCCCACCCCUCCCAGGCUGAGUGGAUUUGUGAGCCGCACUCCCACUUCUCAAUGCCAGGGCCACGGAAUGAAGCCUGCACUGCGGACACUCACUUUCGGUUUCAUGUAUUGGCUUCGUGACACCCCACAGCGAAAGACCCUCUGUUCUGGGGGAAUGACUGUGUUGGUGACAAAACCAUGCUUUCUGGAUCACUGUGGUAUUACGGCAGGGCUUGAAGUCAGGUAUGUGGGUUCUCCAACUCUGUUCUUUUUUCUUCCUCAUGGUGUUGGCUGUCCGAGGACUUUCGCCUUUCCAUAUGAACUUUAGACUCAGGUGGCAUCGCCUGCAGAAUGCCUUGCUGGGAUUGGCCGGGAUUGAACGUUAGACUCAGGUGGCAUCACCUGCAGAAUGCCUUGCUGGGAUUGGCCGGGAUUGAACGUUAGACUCAGGUGGCAUCACCUGCAGAAUGCCUUGCUGGGACUGGCUGGGAUUGAACGUUAGACUCAGGUGGCAUCGCCUGCAGAAUGCCUUGCGGGGAUUGGCUGGGAUUGAACGUUAGACUCAGGUGGCAUCGCCUGCAGAAUGCCUUGAGGGGAUUGGCCGGGAUUGAACGUUAGACUCAGGUGGCAUCGCCUGCAGAAUGCUUUGCUGGGAUUGGCUGGGAUUGAACGUUAGACUCAGGUGGCAUCGCCUGCAGAAUGCCUUGCUGGGAUUGGCCGGGAUUGAACGUUAGACUCAGGUGGCAUCGCCUGCAGAAUGCCUUGCUGGGAUUGGCCGGGAUUGAACGUUAGACUCAGGUGGCAUCACCUGCAGAAUGCCUUGCUGGGAUUGGCUGGGAUUGAACGUUAGACUCAGGUGGCAUCGCCUGCAGAAUGCCUUGCGGGGAUUGGCUGGGAUUGCAGCGAAUCACCUCUUGGCUCUAAUAGCCAAAAUUCAUAGCUGUGCAGAACUCUCUUUGAAAAAAUGGCCAAUGAUUACAUAAGAGUGAAUCCAAUUCCCAUUAACAAAUCUUAAUAUAAUACAUCCAACAAAGCUACGUGUAGAAACUAAGUGACAUCAAACAUAUGCUUGUCGUAAUCACGUGUGUUGAAAACUGUGUUGAAAAGUGCACCAGGUGCCAGUAGGGGCCAAGGGACCUAGGCCCCUUGCCAAGGUCAGCGCAUGCUGACCUGCGCUGGUGGUCGGGUGGAGGGCUCCAUUUGCAAACAGGCGACAGUUGGCUGCCAAUCUUGUUGAUCAUUUAUUUGCUGAUCAAAAAGGAAUUCUGUCAGUACUGUGCACCCUAACACAAUAUUUGGACCUUCAUACAUGUAUUAGUCGGUUUUCCUGCUGCUAAUAAAGACAUACCCAAGACUGGGUAAUUUAUAAAGGAAAGAGGUUUAAUGGACUCACAGUUCCGCAUGGCUGGGGAGGCCUCACAAUCAUGGUGAAUGGCAAAGGAGGAGCAAAGUUGCAUCUUACAUGGCAGCAAGCAAGAGGCCUUGUGCAGGGGAACUCCCAUUUAUAAAACCAUUAGAUCUCAUGAGACUUACUCACUAUCACGAGAACGGCAUGGGAAAUGUCUGCCUCCAUGAUUCAAUUACUUCCCACCAGGUCCCUCCCACAACACAUGGGAAUUAUGGGAGCUACAAUUCAAGAUGAGAUUUGGGUGGGGACUCAGCCAAACCAUAUCGAUACAUAAGCAUUUUACUGGGCUUUGGCUGUAUUAAGGGAUUGAUUGGAGAUUUUAAGAUCAUACAUUAUAAUUUUUCCCAUUUAAAAUAAUGCAAAAUGUGUUCUUCAUUGAUGCUUCCAAGCACAGAUUCUGACAUUUUGCAACAGGAUUCCAAUGUUAAGAGAAAGCUCCGUGUCACUUACUGGUUCUGAUGGGUCAGACCUGGACUCGGGGAAUGGAGGGGCUGGGUUCCUCCUAAACCACAGGGACUGAGGUGGGGUACGAGUGACUACCCAAAAGAACACUGGGGUUCAUUUAGCAACAGGAUGGGAAAUGGAUACUGAAAAGCAAAAUAACAAAUUUUACAAAAAUGUUUUCUGUCCAAGAAUUAAAUAUGUGACACAUCAAUGUGUUCAAUGUCCUUACAUAUUAUGCGUAAGACAUCUGGGCACAGAUAGGAAGGCAGGACAGGUCUGAGCACCUCCCGCCACCUCUCCCCUCCCGGCUCAGGAAAGCUGCUCACAGCUGCAGCCAGCCCGGCCCCCCGCCCUCACCUGCUCCCCCUGCUGUCUCCAGAGUCCCUGGGCUUUCUCCCCCUCCACCUGUUUCCUCUCCUUGGGCUGCCUCUCCCAGGCUAAACAUGCCCGGGGCACAUCAGUGUUGAAAAGAGCUGUUUCUCUGCUGUCCUCACCCCUAAGCUACAGGCUACACCUUGUUUCCCACCCACGGAGAAUCUUCUAGGGAAAUUAGUGCACAGGAUAAGCUUUUAACAGAUUAUCAGAAACGUUUUCAUCCUAGUGUUUCCUGUGACCAUGUGGCCCGCCCAUCCAGGAUGGUCUGCAUCCAGGGAAAGAUGGGGAAGAGGGGAGGGCAGGCCCAGUGGGGGCCUCCCCACCCACAGGCCCCUCCUCCUCCUGAUGGAGCAGCCCCAUCUGCUACAAGCACUCCCCAGGGGUGCGGGGUUCAUGCUUAGAGCAGCAAUCAUUCCUGUUUAUCUGAAAUUCAAAUCUGCCUGGCAUCAGGUACAUUCAUUUACUAACCUGCAGCUCCACCUGGAAUGAUUUGGGACAGCCCUUCCCAUCUCCCUGGGAAGGAUCAGUGGUGUUUGGACAGGCACUUUGCACCCUGGGUGCCUGUGAGGUGGGUUCCCCUUCAAGAAGAGGCCUAACCAGUGCUCCUGCUCCCUGGGUCGGGUCUCCUCACAGCCCAGGGUCUGGGUGGUCUGCAGGGCAGGCUGUUCUCUGUUCCUCCAGCAAGGAUGACCACUGCAGGUGGGGCUGCAGGGAGGCCAGGUGCUACCAGGUAGAGGCCAGAGCUGGGUCGCUCAGUUCGCUCUGCUCUUGUCCUCAGACCCCGAUGCCAGCUCUAGAAAGAGGGGCCCUUUUGCCUUGGCCUCUCCAUGGGGCACAGGCCUCCCUCCCCACCCCACCACGGCAGUGGGGGCAUGAGCUCCAGGGACACCUGCUUUCCUCACAGCCCUGCCCUGAGGACGCUGAUUUGCCUUCUUGCCACAGGUCCAGAAAAGUCUGGAUUUGAUCCUGGCACCGAGGAGGGUCUCUGUGAGCUUGGACUCCUCUCCUGACAGGGGGAAGGGCAGGGCCAGUGCAUCUCACAGCCAUGGCAGGCUGAUGGGACUGUCACACAGCUUUUUGGCCUUGAACUCAGGGCUUAAUGUUAUCAUAUCACUUAAUACUCCCAGGGACCUGGGUGAGGUACAGUCCCAUUCCCAUUUGACAGAGAGGAGGCUGGGGUGCACUGAGAGGUAAUCAGUGUGCUGGCGACAUUUAACAGCCAGCUCUCCAGAAACAUAAAUCACCCUGAUUUGUGGAGAUUGCCAGGUUCCCAGGCACAAAUAUUCCCAGCACAUCCAAUUUCAAGUGCUAGCAGUUUAACAACUGGCUCAUAAAACCCCUGAAAAUGUGAGAGUCGGCUCCCACAAGCUGCUGUGGGACAGCCCCAGCUCCCUGAUAACCUUCUAGGACCUGCCCUAGUUGGGGAGGAGACGGAUCCAGACCCCAAGGGCCUGGACACCAGGGGGGCUCCACUCAGAUCCUCUGGCCCUCACCAUUCCCAGGACCCCCUCUUGGGCUUCUGUGUUCUUCUCUCUCCAGGGCUGGCUCCUGACACUCCUCUUUAAACAACUGUCCUUAGGCCACUGAGCCCGACCAGCCCCACUGCAGUGAGCCGAAGUGGCCUGGGGGCCAGCCAUGCUGAAGCUGCCUCCUCCCAGCUUGUGGGAUAUGAUUUUGGUGUUUACAGUUUUCAGGAAUUAUAUAAACCAGGUAUGACACAGGCUGAACAUCAGUCAUGGUGAAAUUAUUCACAUCCCAGGAACCUGGCAGGGGCUGUGCUGCUGCUGCCCCUGGGAGUGAGUUGUCCCACACUCAGCAGCUCGCCCUGUCUCAUCCUCCCCACCUAGCGAGGCUUUGACCAGUGACGGGGGUGUGGGAACCUCCAACAGGGCGGCUGAGGCUGGGUUCACGCUCCAGGGCGCCCCUGCAGGACCACAAGGAAGCCAUUGCAGUCAGGAGACCUGGCGCUCAAAGCUUCGCUUAUCCUGACCCUGUGCCUCUCCCCGCUCCCUCCCGGCCCUCCCUUCACGCGUCACCUGUUCCCAAGUCCUCAUCCCAGGAUCUGCUUCCGGGGACCAGGCCUGAUAGGCUCCAAAGCUCUGCUCUUAACCAGCACCGCAACUGGAGGAAAAGCAGGAGGCAUUUGGCUGUUGAUGAUCAUGACAUUUUCAUUAUUCUGUGUGGUUUGGGUUUAUUUUACCCAAGGAGCACAGUCCACAGAAAAUAGAACAUUUCAGGAAUACCAACCAAGCUAAGUAACAUGUUCACAUGAUAUUUAUUAAAACUGUGAUGAAACCGGCUCCACAAACCGUUGAUAGAAGAUGGGCUGUGUAAAACCGGUACUGGGAAAACGGGUUGUCUGUGUGGAGGAAAGUAAGACUGAAUCGCUAACCAAUACUGCAAACAAAGAUGGAGUCUAGAUGGAUUAAAAACCUGAAUAUGAAAAGAGAGAAAAUAUGAAAACAUAUAGAGUCUUUGGGAACUUGUGCCUGGGAACAAUUUUUUAAACACAUUUGGAAAGCAUAAACCAUAGAAAAAUGAUUAGUUUUGUCACAUCAAAACAAAGGAUGCCUGCUUAAUGAAGAAGACCAUGAACAAAAUCAUUAGACGACUGGCAAAAUGGGAAAAGAGAUUUGCAAAGUUUAAAACUGGAACGUGAUCAGUGUGUCAAAUAUACAAUGUAACUUUGUAAAUCAACAAGGAAACAAGGAGAAAUCCCAAAGAAUGGACAGAGCGAUGUGAGCAGGCAACACCCAGGAGAGGAAAUCCCAACAGGCCAAGAUGCCACACCCAGGCUGUCUCCUGUCACUCCUGGCGGUGAUUAGGAAGCUGGCGGCUCCCAGCCUGGGCAGGGACGCAGGGAUGUCCUGCAGGUGGGGGUGGACGGAGGGCCCUGGACCCAGCGGUCCCACCUCAAGUAGACACCCAGGGAGGUGCUGACCCAGGCCCACAGAUGACCUCUGAGGCCCACAGAUGACCUCUGAGCCUGUCUGUGGGGGCCGGGAGGGGCACAGGACCUGGGUGGGUGUCCCUGGGAGAACAGAGAGGAAAAUGGGGUGGGCGCACACGGAGAACCAUGCAGCAAUGAGACAGCAUGAGCUGGUGCACACGGAGCGAUAUGAGAGCAUCUUUAAAACAUGAUUAUUUGUAAAAGUUUACAAAUACACAGAAUGAAAUUAAUCACAUGAGACCAUUGACGUUCAUGCCCGGAAACAGCAAUGGGCACUCUCCAAGAACACGUCCCAAUAAAAAGAUCGUCAU